This 221-nucleotide non-coding RNA is filed under the name Pelagibacterium sp. Lineage: Bacteria; Pseudomonadati; Pseudomonadota; Alphaproteobacteria; Hyphomicrobiales; Devosiaceae. The record is from RNAcentral.
ACUAUAUAUAGCGCUUGAGGUUCUUCCCGAUUCUGUUGAACGGGGAGCUAAGACGGGAAUUCGGUGCGCCGGCCUUUCGUGGCCGGCAAUGCCGAGGCUGCCCCCGCAACUGUGAGCGGUGAGUUCUUGUUCGAUCAUGCCACUGGGUCCGGCGGACCUGGGAAGGCGGGCAGGGACGGUGAUCCGCAAGCCAGGAGACCUGCCUUUUGCGUGAAUACGUC